Molecule: long non-coding RNA, 525 nt
Filed under: Bos taurus (domestic cattle)
Lineage: Eukaryota; Metazoa; Chordata; Mammalia; Artiodactyla; Bovidae
Description: long non-coding RNA NONBTAT008145
Source: RNAcentral
CCCAUACAUUUUCAGUCUUUCCCGCCCUCAGCCAUACACUAAUCUUCAAGUUUCUUUUGUUGUUUUGUCAUGUCACUUUUAGAAAUGGUUUGUUUACUCAUGGAUGAAAAUUUCCCACCACCAAGGCCCAGUAUUCUUUUUAUCUUUGCCAUGGUUACUUCUGUUUCUUAAGGUGGCAUGUUUUGUUCUUAGAAUAUGAGUAUUUUUAGGGAGGCAUGUAUAUGAAUGAGUCAAUCUUAAUUUCUACUAUGUUUCAUGACUUAAUAGAAGGAAACUUUUCUAUUCUAGGGACAGUUUUUCAUCUGGGGCAGUUUUGCCUCUUAGUGGGUAUUUGGCAACUGAUUUGAUGGAGAUUUUUUUUUUUUCAGUUCAUUGUUUUUCUUUUUAUUGCAUUUAUUGAAGUAUGUACCCCCAAACAACGUAGCUUACUGGGAUGUAAACUGAAAUAUAGAUAAUUUUCUCUUCAACUCCAUUUACAUCAAAUUCUGUCUCUGUUAUAACACUGAAAUUGCUUGGGCAAAGGGA